Molecule: small RNA, 97 nt
Filed under: Klebsiella pneumoniae
Lineage: Bacteria; Pseudomonadati; Pseudomonadota; Gammaproteobacteria; Enterobacterales; Enterobacteriaceae
Description: partial RtT sRNA
Rfam family: RtT RNA
About the family: This family represents a bacterial cis-regulatory element known as RtT RNA. The exact function of RtT is unknown although it is thought that it may be involved in changing the cellular response in relation to amino acid starvation.
Source: RNAcentral
UAUUCUGCCCCACGGGGAAGGAUGAGAAGCUUCGACUAAGGUUCGACUCGAGCGAAGCGAGAGAACGUUGCCGCAGGCAACGGCCCGAAGGGCGAGG